This 521-nucleotide ribosomal RNA is filed under the name uncultured Ambispora. RNAcentral's name for it is "SSU rRNA". It matches the Rfam family "Eukaryotic small subunit ribosomal RNA", at positions 591 to 1114 of the family's 1831-position model. The record is from RNAcentral. Lineage: Eukaryota; Fungi; Glomeromycota; Glomeromycetes; Archaeosporales; Ambisporaceae.
CCAAUAGCGUAUAUUAAAGUUGUUGCAGUUAAAAAGCUCGUAGUUGAAUUUUGGGUCUGGCCGGGCGGUCCGCCCUCCGGGUGAGCACUGUUCCGACGCCGGGCCUAUCCUUCUGGUGAGUCGGCAUGUCCUUUACUGGGUGUGUCGGGGAACCAGGACCAUUACCUUGAAAAAAUUAGAGUGUUCAAAGCAGGCGUAUGCUCGGAUACAUUAGCAUGGAAUAAUGAAAUAGGACGCGUGGUGCUAUUUUGUUGGUUUCUAGAACCGCCGUAAUGAUUAAUAGGGAUAGUUGGGGGCAUUAGUAUUCAAUUGUCAGAGGUGAAAUUCUUGGAUUUAUUGAAGACUAACUUCUGCGAAAGCAUUUGCCAAGGAUGUUUUCAUUAAUCAAGAACGAAAGUUAGGGGAUCGAAGACGAUCAGAUACCGUCGUAGUCUUAACCAUAAACUAUGCCGACUAGGAAUCGGGCGAUGUUAUUCUCAUGACUCGCCCGGCGCCUUAUGGGAAACCAAAGUGUUUGGUUC